Molecule: long non-coding RNA, 1149 nt
Filed under: Phascolarctos cinereus (koala)
Lineage: Eukaryota; Metazoa; Chordata; Mammalia; Diprotodontia; Phascolarctidae
Description: lncRNA (ENSPCIG00000030988.1)
Source: RNAcentral
AUUUCCAAGCUGAGGGUUCGAGGGAGCUGGGAGACUGGAGUGAGUUCUCUCCUGGUCCCUCCUGACCCCCCCCGCCAGACAGAAGCCAGCCCAGCCGCCCUGCCUGGCAGUGCCAAGGAUGCCCCACCCAGGGGGUCCCGGGCCGUCCUGCCGCCAAGAAGAAUAUGUCUGGAGGCUAACCCAGCUCCUGGGCUCAGUGUCCCCUGGGCGAGGAGAGCUCAGCCCCUGCAGCUCGGACUCCAUCUGUACGGAGGACUUUGCCGCUUGCUUCCAAGAGGCCAUGGUGGAGGCUGUGCUGCCUAAGGAGCAGGAGGAGGGGGCCCGUGCCAGAAGCCCUGAGUCCCUGGGGGGGGCCACAUCUCCCGGCUGAGCCAGGGCUCCACUCCCCAGCCGCUCAGCUCCUGGGGCUGCCAGCAGCCCCCCAAGGAGGAGUGUUCCUCACUCCCGGAGGACCCCAGCCCCAGGUCGGGCCCACCUGCACCAGGCGCUGCAGGGCCUAGAUCUCUGCCCCACUUGGGGGGCCCCUUCCCUGAGAAGCGGAGACACAAAAGAGAUUCUGGAGUUGGGCAGGCGAGAAGCCAGAGUGGGGGCCUUGAGGCAGCCGGCCUCCACACUGGGAGCAGGAAUCCUCGGCCCUGUCUUCGCGCUUCUCCCCACAACAGAAGGGUCCACUGGGCCCCAGAGCCAUCCCUGAACGUCCGGCCUGAUGGUCCAGCCUGGGAGGCCCCAGCCCUGAGGCAGCUGUCCAGGCCUUUGGCAGGACCCCAGGACCCCAAGCUGUUUCUGGGUAGGCUCCCAGCAUCUCCCUGCAACCCUGGAUCUCUCCUCCCAUCCUGCCCACUGGAAUACCCAUCUCCUGGCUCCCAGAAACAACAGCCCAGCCUUAGCCACAGACAGGGGCUUAAAAAAGAGCAGGAGACCCCAGGGGACCCCAAGCCCUGGAAAUGGAGCAAGAAACCAGAAAGGAUGAAGGAUGGCAAGAUUUUGAAGAACAGGGAGGAGUGGGUAGCUGGGGGCACACACAGAGCAGGAAAGGAGAAGCCAGACGUCUCUGUUCAGGAUGGAGGCCCUGGGCAGUUCAGAGUUAUGGGAGCUACGAACACCAAGCACGGAGUAGCCCAGGCAGAUUCUGGCACAAGUGGGAGAUAG